RNAcentral lists this ribosomal RNA (869 nucleotides) under uncultured archaeon. RNAcentral's name for it is "bacterial SSU rRNA". It matches the Rfam family "Archaeal small subunit ribosomal RNA", at positions 1 to 878 of the family's 1478-position model. The record is from RNAcentral.
CUCCGGUUGAUCCUGCCGGACCUGACUGCUAUCGGAUUGGUACUAAGCCAUGCGAGUCGUUGUAGCAAUACAAGGCGGACGGCUCAGUAACACGUAGUCAACCUAACCUAUGGACGUGGAUAACCUCGGGAAACUGAGAAUAAACCGCGAUAGAUCAUUAUGCCUGGAAUGGCUUAUGGUUCAAACAAUUUAUUGCCGUAGGAUGGGACUGCGGCCUAUCAGCUUGUUGGUGAGGUAAUGGCCCACCAAGGCUAUAACAGGUACGGGCUCUGAGAGGAGAAGCCCGGAGAUGGGUACUGAGACACGGACCCAGGCCCUAUGGGGCGCAGCAGGCGAGAAACCUUAGCAAUGUGCGAAAGCACGACUGGGUCAGUCCGAGUGAUUCCUGAUAAAGGAGUCUUUUAUCUGUCCUAAAAGCACAGGUGAAUAAGGGGUGGGCAAGUCUGGUGUCAGCCGCCGCGGUAAUACCAGCACCUCGAGUGGUCAGGACGUUUAUUGGGCCUAAAGCAUCCGUAGCCGGCUCUGCAAGUCUUCGGUUAAAUCCACCUGCUCAACAGAUGGGCUGCUGGAGAUACUACAAAGCUAGGGAGUGGGAGAGGCAGACGGUAUUCAGUGGGUAGGGGUAAAAUCCUCUGAUCCAUCGAGGACCACCAGUGGCGAAGGCGGUCUGCCAGAACACGUUCGACGGUGAGGGAUGAAAGCUGGGGGAGCAAACCGGAUUAGAUACCCGGGUAGUCCCAGCUGUAAACGAUGCAAACUCGGUGAUGCAUUGGCUUAUGGCCAAUGCAGUGCCGCAGGGAAGCCGUUAAGUUUGCCGCCUGGGAAGUACGGACGCAAGUCUGAAACUUAAAGGAAUUGGCGGGGGAGCA